GUCGGCAGCGGCCUCCGAGCAGAUCGGACUCUCCUUAUUCGCCCAUCUUGCUCAGCUCCUUCCAACCACCAUGUCUGACAAACUCGAUAUGGCUGAGAUCGAGAAAUUCGAUAAGUCGAAGUUGAAGAAGACAGGAACGCAAGAGAAAAGUCCUCUGCCUUCAAAAGAAACAAUUGAACAAGAGAAGCAAGCUGGUAAUGAGGUAAUGAGGCGAGCGCCGCCAAUAUGCACAGUACAUUCCGCGAGCGUUGCCUUCUUAUUUUACUUCCCUGAGCUGUUUAACUUCAUAAGAUGCAAAGAGGUUGGAUCAAGUUUAAAUGACUGUGCUGCCCCUGUCACAUCAAAGAAUCAGAACUGCUGACCAGGAAAGCCUCCCCCCCCCCCCCCCCCCCGCCUCUCCCGCCCACCUGCUGGCCUGGCUGGCAGAGAGGGAAAAGAACUUGCAUGUUGGUGAAGGAAAAGGCUGGGUGGGAGACGGUGGAAUUGAGAGUAAAAUAAAGAUGGCCCAACAUGUCCUGCAGGAUAUAAAAAUGGAGUUUAAUCAGGGUGCCAUUUUUUUUUUGUUCAAACGAUUUUAAUUAUUGGAAUGCACAAUUUUUAAUAUGCAAAUGAAGUUUUAAAACCUGAAAAAAUAAUUUUAAAGAAGU
Molecule: long non-coding RNA, 647 nt
Filed under: Rattus norvegicus (Norway rat)
Lineage: Eukaryota; Metazoa; Chordata; Mammalia; Rodentia; Muridae
Description: long non-coding RNA NONRATT003227
Source: RNAcentral